This 1151-nucleotide long non-coding RNA is filed under the name Linum usitatissimum (flax). Its description in RNAcentral is "long non-coding RNA (LUSI_LNC008040)". Lineage: Eukaryota; Viridiplantae; Streptophyta; Magnoliopsida; Malpighiales; Linaceae. The record is from RNAcentral.
UUCACUCUAUAAGGAAGACCUUCAAUGGCGAUACUCCCACUUCAUCACACCUCACCAACCUCUCUCCAAAAUGACAAAACCCCCCCCAAAAACCAGUUAACUAGUUACUUCAUUGUUCUUCACUCCUUCAGUCACUCUCUGUUUCGAAUCCUCUGCUUCAAUUCCUCUGUUUCAAUUCCUCUGCCUCCAACUCUUCAAUCAUGCUGAACACUCUGGUUCCUUCUCCUCCUCUGGUCUUCUCCAACCAACUCCCUAUUUUAGGAAGUGGAAUGAAUGGUGGUCUUAUACUACCCACAACACCAAAUAAAGUCUUCGACAUCGGAGACGAGAGAUUGAUGAGUCAUUACUCGAUCAACGAUAGUAAUUUUAUACUACCCACAUCACCAAACAUCUUUCUCCACUAUGAGGACAAUUCGAUUUGUUCUUCGGGUGAGAGAUUAAUGAGUAAUUUUUCGAUAGUUGGUAGUGAUCUUGUAUUACCCACAUAAUCAAGCAACUUUCUCAACGGUGAGCACGAUUAAAUUUUUCCUCCAAACGAGAAAUUACUGAGUCAUUAUCCUAUGGAUGGUAGUAUUCUCAUACUACCCACAUCACCAAACAACUUUCGUAGCGGCAUGGACAAUCCAAUUUGUCCCCCAAACAAGAGUCCGGUAAGUCAUCACCGGCCCAAUGGUAGUAGUUUCUUACUACCCACAUCACGAAACAACUUUCUUAUUUGCGUAGACAAUCCAGUUUGUCCCCCAAACAAGAGUCCGGUAAAUUAUUAUCGGAAAUAUAGCAAUAGUCUCAUACUACUACCCACAUCAUCAAAAUACAAUUCUCAAUAGCCCGGCUGGCAAGAUAUUGAAAAAUCAUUAUUAGUCGGAUGGUAAUCUCGUACUACUCACAUCCCCAAACACUUUUCUUAUCAGUCAGGAUAAUCCAAAUUGUCCUUCAGGCGAGAGAUUGACAAGUCAUUAUCCUAUAAAUCAUAAUACACCCACAUCACCAAACAACUUCCUCAGAGGCAACAAGGACAGUCGAUUUUGUUCCUCGAACGAGUGAUUGAUCAGUCAUGACUUGAAGCAGAAAAUGCUCGGGAAUGAAGACCAAGUAAAUCAAAUCCCGGAAGUCGACAUCUUAAGCCACGAGCCUUGGGAUCUACCUUCCCA